AAUAUAAACAUAUGAAUAUGAAAAAUAUGAAAAACAUUCAUAUUUGAAAAUAUGAAUAUGCCCAUUUGCUUACAUAAAUGUUAUUUAUAAAAAGAUCUGGAGGGUCACAGUAAAAUGUUAAUUUUAUUGGUGGUCCUCUUGGUUAAGGUAGACUGAAGGAUGACUUCUGUUUUCUAAUGUACAGGGUUCCUAUUGUUUGAAGGUUCUUUAAUACAAUGGUAUUAUUUUUUCCAUUAAAAUAGUGGACAAGACUGAAAUAACAACCCAUUAGAGCAUACACACACACAAGUUUGGAGUCUGACUACAGCUCUGCAGAGUUAUGCAAAGCAUACGUAAUUUUUAGGCAGAAAAUAUCUAUGGCCCUUAUUACUAUUUCCUAUACUUGAAUUUAGCCAUAGAGAAUGUUUUUUAUGCAUAUCACUCAUGUAAAAUAUCUGGGUCUUC
This 444-nucleotide long non-coding RNA is filed under the name Bos taurus (domestic cattle). RNAcentral describes it as "long non-coding RNA NONBTAT023649". Lineage: Eukaryota; Metazoa; Chordata; Mammalia; Artiodactyla; Bovidae. The record is from RNAcentral.